ACGGUGCAGCCAUUUGUGGGCCCUAUAACGAAAAACGGUUGAAUGAAGGAAAACGACAAAGAUUGAGUUUUAUAAAUAACGGCGUAAAUUGUUACCGUUAACACUGUUGGGUUACCUGGUGGUUAAAAUACAGUAAUACGCGUAGUUGCACAGUAGCACACGGUAUUGCACAGUAUUGUUGAAUUAUUGAUUCGUACGUAAG
RNAcentral lists this long non-coding RNA (202 nucleotides) under Panax ginseng (ginseng). RNAcentral describes it as "long non-coding RNA (PGIN_LNC013913)". Lineage: Eukaryota; Viridiplantae; Streptophyta; Magnoliopsida; Apiales; Araliaceae. The record is from RNAcentral.